This 148-nucleotide ribosomal RNA is filed under the name uncultured bacterium. RNAcentral describes it as "partial 16S ribosomal RNA". It matches the Rfam family "Bacterial small subunit ribosomal RNA", at positions 355 to 505 of the family's 1533-position model. The record is from RNAcentral.
UGGGGGAUAUUGCACAAUGGGGGAAACCCUGAUGCAGCGACGCCGCGUGGGUGAAGGAGCACUUCGGUGCGUAAAAGCCCUAUCGGCAGGGAAGAAAAGGGGGGAAACCCCAGACGGUACCUGACUAAGAAGCCCCGGCUAACCUACG